Molecule: long non-coding RNA, 206 nt
Filed under: Elaeis guineensis (African oil palm)
Lineage: Eukaryota; Viridiplantae; Streptophyta; Magnoliopsida; Arecales; Arecaceae
Description: long non-coding RNA (EGUI_LNC028710)
Source: RNAcentral
CCACUCUCACGGCUCUCACCUUCUCGAAACUAGAGUCACGCCCGACCAUCCCAACCACAAUCUUUCAUUACUUAAACUACCCUUGUAACUUUCCUCAUAUUCCACCUCCCAUAUGCCCAUAGAGCCGCAUGACAUAAGGGCAUAAAAGUCAAUUCAACUUCAACCGCAUCAAAAUACCGCUCGUUUCUUUCCUGACAUUAGCCCCC